Molecule: ribosomal RNA, 524 nt
Filed under: Loris tardigradus nordicus
Lineage: Eukaryota; Metazoa; Chordata; Mammalia; Primates; Lorisidae
Description: partial 16S ribosomal RNA
Rfam family: Bacterial large subunit ribosomal RNA
Source: RNAcentral
CUGCCCAGUGACUAGCGUUUAACGGCCGCGGUAUCCUGACCGUGCAAAGGUAGCAUAAUCACUUGUUCCUUAAUUGAGGACUUGAAUGAAUGGCCACACGAGGGUUUAACUGUCUCUUACUUACAAUCAGUGAAAUUGACCUCUUCGUGAAGAGGCGAAGAUAAACAAAUAAGACGAGAAGACCCUAUGGAGCUUAAAUUUAACACUCACAUUACAUACCAAAUCCCACAACAGGGCUACAACACACCUAAUUUAUGAGUGAACAAUUUUGGUUGGGGUGACCUCGGAGCAUAAAAAAACCUCCGAAUAUUUUAAACAUAGACACAACCAGUCAAAGCAAGAUACAUAACACGUAUCAUAUAAUCAUUGACCCAAAAACUUGAUCAACGGAACAAGUUACCCUAGGGAUAACAGCGCAAUCCUGUUCAAGAGUCCAUAUCGACAACAGGGUUUACGACCUCGAUGUUGGAUCAGGACAUCCCAAUGGUGUAACCGCUAUUAAUGGUUCGUUUGUUCAACGAUUA